GCGCCUGUGGUGAAAUUGGUAGACACGCAGGUUUUAGGUACCUGUGCUUUACAGCGUGGGGGUUCAAGUCCCUCCAGGCGCACCA
This 85-nucleotide transfer RNA is filed under the name Saprospirales bacterium TMED214. RNAcentral describes it as "tRNA-Leu". It matches the Rfam family "tRNA". From Rfam's summary of the family: Transfer RNA (tRNA) molecules are approximately 80 nucleotides in length. Their secondary structure includes four short double-helical elements and three loops (D, anti-codon, and T loops). Further hydrogen bonds mediate the characteristic L-shaped molecular structure. tRNAs have two regions of fundamental functional importance: the anti-codon, which is responsible for specific mRNA codon recognition, and the 3' end, to which the tRNAs corresponding amino acid is attached (by aminoacyl-tRNA synthetases). tRNAs cope with the degeneracy of the genetic code in two manners: having more than one tRNA (with a specific anti-codon) for a particular amino acid; and 'wobble' base-pairing, i.e. permitting non-standard base-pairing at the 3rd anti-codon position. The record is from RNAcentral. Lineage: Bacteria; Pseudomonadati; Bacteroidota; Saprospiria; Saprospirales.